Molecule: ribosomal RNA, 744 nt
Filed under: Scenedesmus sp. SP2-9
Lineage: Eukaryota; Viridiplantae; Chlorophyta; Chlorophyceae; Sphaeropleales; Scenedesmaceae
Description: eukaryotic LSU rRNA
Rfam family: 5.8S ribosomal RNA (bases 274-427)
Source: RNAcentral
GAAUUCACUAGUGAUUGAAGUCGUACAAGGUUUCCGUAGGUGAACCUGCGGAAGGAUCAUUGAAUUAUUAAAACCACAAUGCGAACCUAUCUGUUCCGUGCCUUAGCUGCCAGCAAGGCAAUUGGCUUGCCCAAUUGUACUUGCAAGCUGGUGCGAGUAAUUUGAUUACUUGCAUCAGUGGCGCUUUGGCAUGCUUAUACACCAGUGCUAACCACUGUCAAAACCAAACCCUGAAGCUUUGAUUGCUAUUAACUGGCAAUCUUAACCAAAGACAACUCUCAACAACGGAUAUCUUGGCUCUCGCAACGAUGAAGAACGCAGCGAAAUGCGAUACGUAGUGUGAAUUGCAGAAUUCCGUGAACCAUCGAAUCUUUGAACGCAUAUUGCGCUCGAGCCCUCGGGCAAGAGCAUGUCUGCCUCAGCGUCGGUUUAUACCCUCACCCCUCUCUCCUUUUGGAGGGCUGGUCAGCUUCUAGUUGGCCUCAGGGAUGGAUCUGGCUUUCCCAAUUGGUUCACUCCGAUUGGGUUGGCUAAAGCUUAGAGGCUUAAGCAAGGACCCGAUAUGGGCUUCAACUGGAUAGGUAGCACCGGCUUCUGCCGACUACACGAAGUUGUGGCUUGUGGACUUUGCUAGAGGCCAAGCAGGAAACAUGCUUUGCAUGUCUUAAACUUUCGACCUGAGCUCAGGCAAGGCUACCCGCUGAACUUAAGCAUAUCAAUAAGCGGAGGAAAAGAAACUAACCA